Molecule: ribosomal RNA, 459 nt
Filed under: uncultured bacterium
Lineage: Bacteria
Description: partial 16S ribosomal RNA
Rfam family: Bacterial small subunit ribosomal RNA
Source: RNAcentral
CCUACGGGGUGCAGCAGUGAGGAAUAUUGGUCAAUGGGCGAGAGCCUGAACCAGCCAAGUCGCGUGAGGGAGUACUGCCCUAUGGGUUGUAAACCUCUUUUGACGGGGAGCAAAAGCCGGACGUGUCCGGCAGUGCGAGUACCCGAAGAAAAAGCAUCGGCUAACUCCGUGCAAGCAGCCGCGGUAAUACGGAGGAUGCGAGCGUUAUCCGGAUUUACUGGGUGUAAAGGGGGCGCAGACGGCGCUGCAAGACAGGUGUGAAAGCCCGGGGACCAACCCCGGGACUGCUCUUGCAACUGCGUGGCUGGAGUGCAGGAGGGGCAGGCGGAAUUCCUGGUGUAGCGGUGAAAUGCGUAGAUAUCAGGAGGAACACCGGUGGCGAAGGCGGCCUGCUGGACUGCAACUGACGUUGAGGCCCGAAAGCGUGGGGAGCAAACAGGAUUAGAUACCCCAGUAGUC